AAUAUUGGACAAUGGGCGAAAGCCUGAUCCAGCCAUGCCGCGUGUGUGAAGAAGGUCUUCGGCUUGUAAAGCACUUUAAGUUGGGAGGAAGGGGUUGAAGCUACUACCUUCAUUCUUUGACGUUACCAACUGAAUAAGCACCGGCUAAUCCUGUUCCAGCAGCCGCGGUAAUACAGAGGGUGCAAGCGUUAAUCGGAAUUACUGGGCGUAAAGCGCGCGUAGGUGGUUCAGUAAGAUGGAAGUGAAAUCCCCGGGCUUAACCUGGGAACUGCUUUCAUAACUGCUGAGCUAGAGUACGGUAGAGGGUAGUGGAAUUUCCUGUGUAGCGGUGAAAUGCGUAGAUAUAGGAAGGAACACCAGUGGCGAAGGCGACUACCUGGACUGAUACUGACACUGAGGUGCGAAAGCGUGGGUAGCGAACA
Molecule: ribosomal RNA, 422 nt
Filed under: uncultured bacterium
Lineage: Bacteria
Description: partial 16S ribosomal RNA
Rfam family: Bacterial small subunit ribosomal RNA
Source: RNAcentral